This 484-nucleotide ribosomal RNA is filed under the name uncultured bacterium. Its description in RNAcentral is "partial 16S ribosomal RNA". It matches the Rfam family "Bacterial small subunit ribosomal RNA", at positions 29 to 507 of the family's 1533-position model. The record is from RNAcentral.
AUUGAACGCUGGCGGCAUGCUUUACACAUGCAAGUCGAACGGCAGCGCGGGCUUCGGCCUGGCGGCGAGUGGCGAACGGGUGAGUAAUACAUCGGAACGUGCCCGGUAGUGGGGGAUAGCUCGGCGAAAGCCGGAUUAAUACCGCAUACGACCUGAGGGUGAAAGCGGGGGAUCUUCGGACCUCGCGCUAUUGGAGCGGCCGAUGGCAGAUUAGCUAGUUGGUGGGGUAAAGGCCUACCAAGGCGACGAUCUGUAGCUGGUCUGAGAGGACGACCAGCCACAAGGGGAAGGAGACACGGCCCAGACUCCUCCGGGAGGGAGCAGGGGGGAUUUUGGGAGAAGGGGAGAAAGCCUGAUCCAGCAAUCCGGGGUGUGGAAGGAGGCCCUGCGGGUAGAAAAGCUCUUUGGGGGGAAAAAAAAAGAACGGUCCAAAUACCCCGGUACGAGGACGGUACCCAAAAAAAAAGCCCCGGCUAACUACGUG